UACGAAGGGGGCUAGCGUUGCUCGGAAUCACUGGGCGUAAAGGGUGCGUAGGCGGGUCUUUAAGUCAGGGGUGAAAUCCUGGAGCUCAACUCCAGAACUGCCUUUGAUACUGAGGAUCUUGAGUUCGGGAGAGGUGAGUGGAACUGCGAGUGUAGAGGUGAAAUUCGUAGAUAUUCGCAAGAACACCAGUGGCGAAGGCGGCUCACUGGCCCGAUACUGACGCUGAGAUUCGAAAGCGUGGGUAGCAAACAGG
RNAcentral lists this ribosomal RNA (253 nucleotides) under uncultured bacterium. RNAcentral describes it as "partial 16S ribosomal RNA". It matches the Rfam family "Bacterial small subunit ribosomal RNA", at positions 524 to 776 of the family's 1533-position model. The record is from RNAcentral.